RNAcentral lists this transfer RNA (90 nucleotides) under Parcubacteria group bacterium. Its description in RNAcentral is "tRNA-Ser". It matches the Rfam family "tRNA". From Rfam's summary of the family: Transfer RNA (tRNA) molecules are approximately 80 nucleotides in length. Their secondary structure includes four short double-helical elements and three loops (D, anti-codon, and T loops). The record is from RNAcentral.
GGUGGGCUGGCCGAGUGGUUGAAGGCGCUAGUCUCGAAAACUGGUAUACCUGUAAGGGUAUCGUGAGUUCGAAUCUCACGCCCACCGCCA